CUCGAUCCAGCAAGAGGAGACGAGCACAGGAAGAUGGCCAGGCUUGUCCUUGUCGCCGUACUGGUGGUGCUCGGUUCCGUGGCCUGCCAAGCAUCCGGCUACGGCUACACCUAUCCCAACCCCACUCCCAUCAUAACCGGUACUCCGCAGCCGAGCCCUUCCCCACCUCCACCGGCUACUCCCCCGCCCAGCCCUACCCCUACACCGGAAUAUCCCACCCCGACUUCCAGCGCGCCGGCAACGCCCCCAUCAGUUUCUCCUCCGACCAGCUCUACCCCGCCACCACCGUCUACCCUUCCCCCGAGCCCUACUGCUACCCCGGUCUAUCCCACCCCCACUCCCACCACUCCCGCGCCCCCACCGGCUUCUACUCCUGCCCCGCCUCCACCUGCCACCGGGCUCGAGGUCGGCUACUACGAUGACAAGUGCCCUGACGCGGAGAACAUCGUGUUGGAUGCCGUGCACAACACCACCGCCGGCGUGAAGGCCGGGCUCAUCCGCCUCUUCUUCCACGACUGCUUUGUCCGGGUACGUAUAUAUACAUAGUUAUUUCAUACGUAAAUGAAGUUUGAUAGAUAAUCCAGGAUUGAGAAACUAAUAAUGCAUGUUAUCGUUGCAUGCAUGCAUGCAUGCGUGUUACUCUACUUGGGCGUGGAUUUCAGGGUUGCGAUGCCUCUGUCCUGCUGAACAAGAUCGCUGGCAAGCCGGAGCCCGAGAAGCUCGGUAUCCCGAACCUGAGCCUGCGUGGCUUCGAAGUGAUAGACGCGGCAAAGAAGAAGCUCGAGGAAAAAUGUCCCGGUGUCGUCUCGUGCGCCGACAUCGUCGCCUUCGCAGGCCGUGACGCUAGCAAGUUACUCAGCACCUACAAAAUAAACUUCAACAUGCCAGCCGGCCGCUACGAUGGGUUCGUGUCCCUCAAAGACGAGACCCUCGCCAACCUGCCUCCACCCUUCGCCAACCUCGACACACUCACACAAAUGUUCGCCAACAAGACACUCAGCCAAACCGACAUGGUCGUGCUCUCGGGCGCGCACAGCAUCGGCCGCUCGCACUGCUCCUCCUUCAGCAACCGUCUCCAGCCGUCGGCCAACGACAACUCCAACACGUCGAUGGAUGCCACGUUCGCUGGGAAGCUGACCCAGGACUGCACCGCCGGUAGUGAUCCCAUGGUGCCGCAGGACUACAAGACCGUCGACGUGUUGGACAGCCAGUACUACAGGAACGUGAUCGAUCGCAAAGUGCUCUUCACCUCUGACGCGGCGCUCAUGACGUCGCUGCAGACGAAGAGCUUGGUGCAGGAGUACACUAAAUGGCUCAUCGGAGAUCUCAAGUGGUACAAACAUUUCGGGGAUGCAAUGGUGAAGAUGGGAAAUAUCGAAGUGAAGGACAGCACCAAAGGUGAGAUCAGAAAGAUGUGCGGGCUCGUCAAUUAACCCUACACCGGUUCAUGGUCUCUUGAUGGCAGAGGGUGUUCAGUUCAUGCUUUUUUCAAUGUGCCUUCCGGUCUUCUUUUCUCCUUUAUUUCAAACUAAAUUUUUUGCUCGUUGAUUCAUUUCAUUUAUUUGUGUUGUAAUCCUUAUUGUGCCACUGUACUCAAUUACCGGCAAUACUUUAUACUGAGAUUGAUGAAUCAAUUUCGGUUUAUUGUUAUUUUGUAUUGGGAAUAUACUUUAUAUUAAGAGCAUCUCUGAUAGAUGUCCUAUCCUAUAUCUAGUUUCUCGUGCUAUAGGACAUCUGUUUUUGCAUGUUAGGGCAUAAAAAAAAUUAUGCUAUUCCAGAUGCCCUAUUUUACGCGACACGUUCUAACAGAUGCCCUAUUUUACACACAUUUGAUCAACAUUCAAACAUUUUUUUCAAACUCGAUUUCAAACUUACGAACUACAAACCAUCAUUCGAACUCAAUUUCAUACCCUAAACUUGAUUUCAUAAUCCUAAACUCGGUUCUACAUAACUUAACUUGAUUUGAACUCGAGUUCACAACGUACGACAAUCAAAGUCAUCCGACGAAUCGGAUGAUCCAUCCGAUGUCCAGUCAAAGGAGGAGGAGCUUAACUCGAUCACCGUCUUAACCGUUGAUGGUCCAGACUCACCGAGCUUCUUCUUCUUCUCUAUCUCGCGCUUCCAGAAGAACUCGCGCUUGUAUUGCACGUACUCGGGAUGCUCCCGAGGAAACCGAGCCACUGCCUCGUCGUCGGUCUCAAUCACCCUCGCCAGCUCCUCCUUCUUCACCAACCGGGUCUUCACCCGGUUCUUCAUCGGGGGCCCGACGAAGAUGGCGUCCUGCAGGGAGGUGAUGUCCGGGAAGUUGAGCUCCUCCCGGGGAAUGCCGAGCCGCCACCCAGUGACGUCGUACGCCCGAGCGUCCAAAUCGGCGGUGUCGAAGGUGUCGAGGUAGUAGCACACGCUCUCGUGCUGCAGCUACACGGUCCACUGGCCCGACGACCUCACCCGCAUGCCCUUAUAGAAGGAGCUCGCCUUCGUCUUCUUCGCAGCGCCAUGGCGGAGGCCAUGGCUAGGGUUUGCAUGCGGGGGUAGGGAGCGGCGGCGGAUGGGUCGGAGCACGAGAUCAUGGUAGGGAGCACGAGAGCGGCGGCGACAGACCCGAUUUGGAGGCAGGAGAGCUCGGGAGCGGCGGCGGCGACAUACGGGAUUAUUGGGCGGCGGCUAGGGUUUGCGGGUGGCGGAGGAUGCGAUUUGUCACGGCGGUGGGUGCGGACGGAGACGGGAAUGCGAUUGGGGGACGGUGGCAUGUCGGAGGAUGGCCGGAUGUGAGCGGCGACGACGGAUUUGGCCUGUUGGGGCGGUGGCGGUAGGUGGAGAGCGGGAGGAGGAAAAGCGGUUAGGCACGCGCGCGGUGGAAAGGACAGGGCACGUCUCUCUUGCGGUCCUCUCUGCCCCAAAUAAAGGGCACGGAGUAGGGCUGCCCAAUUUUAGGGCACCGCUUAGGGCACCUGUUGGAGCUGCGUUUUUGCCCAUCGGUGUCCUAAAAAGCGGGAUUUGGGCAUGAAGACUAUAAUAGGGCAUCUGUUAGAGAUGCUCUAAGUGUUCUAGCGAAAUCUGUUUGUAUGAAGCCCCUUGUUUCUUACUCCUAAGCUACAUGUUUGGUGCAUCCCUUUUGGGUGAUUUACAUAUGGCUUAUUUUUUAUCUCUGAAACAUCAGUAGUAGAAAACAUGUCUUUGGAUCUCAUCGCGAGCACCGCCGUGCUGAGCGUCUUGUUCUUGUCUUCUUUUUAAUUUUUUUCUUACUUGUAUGAUUUAGAUAGAUAUACUUGUUGGGGAACGUCACAUGAGAAACAAAAUUUUCCUACACGCACGAAGACCUAUCAUGGUGAUGUCCAUCUACGAGAGGAGAUUUGGAUCUACGUACCCUUGUAGAUCGCACAGCAGGAAGCGUUAAGAAACGCGGUUGAUGUAGUGGAACGUCCUCACGUCCCUCGAUCCGCCCCGCGAACCAUCCCACGAACCGUCCCGCAAUCCGUCCCACGAUCCGCUCCGAUCUAGUACCGAACGGAUGGCACCUCCGCGUUCAGCACACGUACAACUCGACGAUGAUCUCGGCCUUCUUGAUCUAGCAAGCAAGACAGAGAAGUAGAUAAGUUCUCGGGCAGCGUGACGGCGCUCCGGUGGUGGUGAAGGAUCUACUCCUGCAGGGCUCCGCCCGAGCUCCGUAGAAAUACGAUCUAGAAGAAAAACCGUGGUGUUUGUGGUCGGGCUGCCGUGGCAAAAGUUGUCUCUAAUCAGCCCUAAAACUCCACUAUAUAUAGGAGGAGGGGAGGGGAGGCUUGCCUUGGGGUCCAAGAACCCAAGGGUGCGCCGGCCAAGGAGGUGGAGGAGUCCACCUCCAAUCCUAGUCCAACUAGGAUUGGAAGGUGGAGUCCUUCCUUUCCUUCCCACCUCUUUUUUUUCUUUUCUCUUUGAUUUUCUUAUCCCUUGCGCAUAGGCCUUAUUGUUUUGGACCGCCGUGGGAGAGCUUUGUGGUGCUCUAGCUCACCUCCUAUGCACAUGAGGUGUUCAAUGAAAUGCCCGAGCCACGCUUAAGCUUUCUCCUCUCGAAGCUCCUUAUCCAAGCACCAUUUUUCUUAAGAUUUGUCUAGGUUUGGCGGUCCGUCCUAUCCCGUCCCCGUCCCUCACCGCCGUCGAUCGCCCGCGCCCAUCUCUGCGCCGGCACAACCGUGGUUAGCCUCUUCUUCUUAUCUUCUUUCUAAAAUAAAAAAGUUCUUACUUGUAUGAUUUAGAUAGAUACUUGUGUAAUUUUCUUACUUUUAUUUUUGUUUGUUAGUAUAUAGUGCGAUGGUUUUGGUAUCUGCCUCCUUCGGUUCUCGUCAUGUCUAUGAUUCGGAUGUGGUACAUAUUAUCUUUUAUAACUAAUUUUUUAGUGUUUAUGACAAUUAUGCCGAUAAAUGUGACAUAGAUUUUUUAUUCUAGGAGGUAUGUGAACCGGAAAUUACAACCGACAUAGAAAUUCUUGUCGAGAAGUUAAAUUUGGUUGAAAUAGAAAACAAUUACUUGAAACAAAAACGAUCACAAGAUCAACAUGGAUAUGCAAUGCGCUUGAAGGUUAGAAAGAUUAGAAAAUAUGACAUUCAUAGUGAGGCUUGGUAUCAUUGUGUCAUUGAAUCAAUUGGUAUCUUAGUUGCGGUUAUGAUCACAUUUAUUGUUGCAUUUAAUUUUAUAGUUUCAAUGUAUGUUUUAAUUAUAUGCUAUCGAGAGCUAUAUAUUGUUCAAUAAUGAGAACUAUGUAUGAACGUUAUGUAUUUAUUUAUGUCACUACUGUACUUUGGCUUCAAUGUGAUUAUGAAUUUCUAUUAAUUUGGUCAAUUCUCAAUUCAUGAUAUGUUAUAAUGGUUUUUAAUACACUUUAUUAUAUAACACACGUAGAUGAAUCGGCAAUAGAUGUACGAUGACCGACGCACCUUUGAAAAUAUUAAGGGCCUGCAUAAUUUUCUCGAAGCGGCUGAGACAAACAAGUAGAAUUGUUUUAUGCAUUGUCCAUGUACCGUCUGUGGGAAUAUAAAGGCUUUCUCCAACUCUAAAACCCGUCACUUCCACCUUCUUGAGAAAGGUUUUAUGACACACUAUAAUGUUUGUAUCAAGCACGGAGAAAGAGGGGUUAUGAUGGAAGACAAUGAAGAAGAACAGGAUGAUGACAACUACCCGCCCCAUGAAUACGGUGAUGCUGCAAUGGGGGAAGCUGAAGAUCAAGAGGAACUAGACGACGUGCCUGAUGAUGAUCUUCGCCGGGUCAUUGUUGAUGUACAGAGAGAAUGCAAAAAGUGAAAGGGAGAAGCUGACGUUCGAUCACAUGUUAGAGGAUCACAAAAAAUGGUUGUACCCCAAUUGCGAAGAUGACAACACAAAGCUCGGUACCACACUCCAAUUGCUGCAAUGGAAGGCAGACAAUGGUGUAUCUGACAAGGAAUUUAGUUCGCUAUUGAAAAUAAUGAAGAAGAAGCUUACAAAGGAUAACGAAUUUCCUGACAGUACGUACGAAGCAAAGAUGGUUCUAUGCCCUCUAGGAUUAGAGGUGCAGAAGAUACAUGCAUGCCCUAAUGACUGCAUCCUCUACCGCGGUGUGUAUGAGGAUUUGAACGCAUGCCCGCUAUGCGGUGCAUUGCGGUAUAAGAUCGAAGAGAUGACCCUGGUGAUGUUGAGGGCCAGCGCACCGGGAAGAGGGUUCAUGCCAAGGAGAUGUGGUAUGCUCCUAUAAUACCACGGUUGAAACGUCUGGGCAGCCAGCUCUGAGUCUUUGAAGGAGGUAUCGUAGAUGCAGAGGUUCUCGACUAGAUGUUCUUGGGAUAAAUUUGGGUGAAACUUGAUUUCUGUCGGUGGUCGGAGGAAAUGAUGGUGAUGCCCUUGGCGCCGUUUCCUUCAGGAAGGCAUCAUCGAGGUGAAGCUCCCAACUCCUACCCUUACGUCUGGGGAAACUCUUAAUCAGUCGAUCGGAUGAUGACGGCGCUCUCGUGUCGUUCCCUCCUUGGGGGCGUUGUUCUUGGAGGGGUGCAUUGGCUCGACGGGUCAUUGGACGGUUUUAGUGGUGGAUCGACGUCUCGUGUCAGGCAUCGAUGAUGUAGCGUCUUGACGACAUGGCGCAACACGGUCUUAGAGAUAGAUGUAUAAUGUUGGACGUGCGUAGGGAGGUGGCAUUAUUUGGAGUUGUGGUGGCGUCGACCGCAUGACUACCAUGGUUGAUGCGUCAGUACCUGCUCUCAAGAUGGAUCGAUGGAAGACGACGGCGGCGGUCUCUUAGAGUGCGCGGGACCGGUGUGUGCCCGAGAACAGGCAGGAGCCUUGAUUGGGGCCUCCGGUUUCAGAUGUUAGGCUUCAAACUUACUGAUUUAUUACUUAAUAAAAUGACUGUAUAUAUCGUCCAGAUGGAGAGGCAGGUGGGACAUCCUUAUUUGCUUUUGAAAGGUGUUGAAGGAUAUGCGACGGAAAUAAAUAACAAAAGUGUUGAUGUGAAGAUGACUUGUAAUGCAGCUUAAUUAAACAUAAAGUAGUUAGGUAUGGAUAUGGAUAAUAAAAAUACAUGAUGCAAAGCUAGACUUCCAAGCAGCUUAAUUGCACGAAAAGUAGCUUACACAAAAUGACGUGCACACUAACUCGGCUUAAUCAUUAAAACAAAGACUUAAGAUUGUGUUAGAAGUAGGUAAAGAUUAAGGUGUAUUUGCAUGAUAAAUUGUUGCCAUCUCUAAGUAGGACUCAGACUCGUGUAUCCAAUUAAGCAGGAUUUGGACUCUUUAUAAUGAACGUGCAGUUUUAUAAUGCAUUUUUAAUUAGAUAAAGUAAUCGCAUACACUACUUUAAGUUAAUAGCAAAUGUGGCGUUGGCUGUACGUGGUUGGAAUCGUGUUCGAUUUAGUUUGUUAAUUGCAUGCUUUUUUGUUCGCAAAUCUGAGAUUACACAUGAUGUGAAGCACAAGUAAAGGCAGCAGGUUGCUGGCAAGCCUGACAUAAUUGUCGUGACAUAGUGACAUUGGAAAGUGGACGUGGUUGGAAGAUUGCAUGAAAAAAUAAGAUAUGAAAAGGUAAUGAUAUUUAUAAAGCAAAUAUUUUACAUGAUCACUUACACAAACUAGUUCAAUUGGUGGUUCCAUGCGAUUGAAGGGAAGGAUGGCGAGUUCAUACCCGAGUACUUCCAUCUAUUUUUGUCUAGGAUUGCAGGUUCAUUAUUUACAAUCUUGUGAGGCUUUAUGUAAAUUGCCAUCGAAUCGCUAAAAGCAGGAUCAUGGGUUUAUUGGAUAAAACCUCAAGGGUGUUUGCGCAAAACAGCAUAACGGACUAAGAAUUUUUUUUUAUUAGUAAAAAAAAGUAGGUAUAGAUAUAGAUGAUAUAAACUAGGAAAUAUGCCCUUGCGGUGCAACGGGAUAACAAGUGCCUCAACAUUCCCCCAAUCCACGAACACACCCUUCCACAUCCUCUAUGUCAUGACAAUGCCCGACCUAUAUCACCCCUUAUCUUCCUUCCUACCAUCGUCGAUUGUGACAGUUCAAUCUUGUGUUUGUACAACACCGUGGGCAGCGCCCAUCAAUAAUGUGAGGAUUUCAUUGGCGGGAGUGCUCGACCACGUCGGCUGGGUGUCGUUGGUUAGCGCCUCGCUUAUAGUCACCUCCGUCGUCAACCGAAGUGCUGCCGGCAUAGCAAAUACAAUUUACAAGUAAAUCUACUAAAAAGUGUUAUAGACCAAGGCACUAAGAAUUGAACGAUGAUUCUGACCACUUGUUUUGUUAGAAAUUUCCGGAAAAAUAAAUCCUUCUCAAAUAAAUCUCAGACUUCAUCAAGGAGCUACACAAAUUAAAUCAUAUUUACGGUCAUAAGAUCAUCGUAGAUUAGAUGUGCAUUUAUUUUGUUGUAAGAAUAUCCCAACAAACAAAUAUGUGCAACUUGGACUGUACUGUUAAAUAGUUAGACACGUGAAUAUAUAUAUAACUAAUAAACUUCCAAAGAGUACACACUUGAAAAUUUCUCAAAAAGUACACACUUGAGGCAUGCGACAUGUACAUUCCAAGAUUCUCCGAAGUCAUAGCAUUUUAGCUUAUUCCUCAGGAUGGAUGCCAGCAUUUUUGUUUCGGAAAUUAUAUAUGGAAAAUACCUCUUAAAAAACCUAGACAAACUUCGACAUACAAAAAACAUGUGACGGGGAGAAUUACGGAGAACUAAAUGACGGCACCACUGAUUUGUUUUGUUCAUAUAUGUUCACAUAUUAGAAUGUCCUUGCUGUUGUUAGUUAACUAUAUGAUGAAGCAAAGAUCCCAAUCUAUGGAUUGGAUUAACAAAACUAAAGGAUGUAAAAAAUGGAUUCUAUACUAUAUUGCAAGGGAGCUUAUUUUUCUUCUAAGUAAUUUGUUUGCUUUACAUAAUAUCUAUCAUUGCCUAAUUAUUGUUGGGAACUGUGAAAAAAAUUUAUCAACGUAAAUUAUGAUCAUAUUUAUUUUGUGAAGAAAAUAACUUUGCCUGGAGAUAAGUGAGCCGAUCAGCAUUUUUUGUGUGUGUUGCAACAUAUGCAUGCUAGCUAGCACAACCUUAACAACAAUACCAUGUUGACGGCUGUCGGGACCCCGAUCCUAAGCCAUAGGAAUCUAGCCUGUAACACAUCGCAUCCCUUUGUGGUCUCACGCACGGUUAACUCCACGGCUGCAGCCUUACCUUAGCCGGGACCGUUUGCGUCUUUUGACUCACGUAUGCGAUAGUGUCGCUAGCAAUCCAAUGUCAAAGAACCCGGAUCGACAUGUCUAGUCAUAAACCAAAGUGGCAGUACCGCACAAGGACAGGCAUACAUGACCCAACAAAGCAGGUGUCGGUCAUCGACGAAUGUAGACGAGUCGUAGCAAGCUACAAGGACUCCAUUACAUCGCGUGACAUUUCCCCAAAGGGGACAGACACAACAGCUAAGAAGGACACAUGCCGGUCAACCAAUGUGUCCGGAGCAGUAGCGAACUACCAAGGCUCAUUGGAUCACAAAGGGGCAUUUCCUUGUAAGGAGUGCUACUAAAGUUCACGACUAGGUAUUCGAACCCCAUACAUAUCAAGUACGACACACGUACGCAUGGCAUACCGAUAUGUAUAGAUACAUCGAUGGCAUCACAACAUAACCAUAAACAUACAAGCUUUAUUUAAGAGGCUCGGAAGAGCCACACACAUAAUAUUACACAUUAAGGAUCUCACGACCCAUAAUAGCAGUCAUACAAUACAAGCCAGCGGAAGAGUUAUAAACUGUCUAGGUACAGACAGUGCAGCUAGAAGGCACAUGGCCUGACUAUACUACAGAGCCGACGUAGGGCCAGAUCGUAGCUGGGACACCAGCUACUCGUCGUUGUCGAUGUCUACGAAGAACCCUCCGUUAGGGUCAUUAGCAACCUCUGCAACAUUUAUUAAGCAAACAUGAGUACGAAGGUACUCAGCAAGACUUUAGGAGAACUAACUACUCAUGCAAGGUAUCAAAAGGUAUUGUGGGGUUUCAGGUGGAAAGCCAGCAUUUGACUCGUGGCUAGACAACUUGCACUUUGAAAUUAGUUUUGACAACUUGAUUUCUCGCACACGAGUCCACUAACACCACAACAAUACACUAUCGUGGAAUCAUUCCGUCUCCAUACGGAAAUGCCGUCCACGACACUCACGCUUAUCUUGACAAUUUUAUGAGUAACCAUUGAAGUUAUCUAUGAACAACAUAUGUCUCCAAGUAGUCCAUAUCCGCGGACGCGGCUAUUCGAAUAGAUCAUAACCCUGCAGGGGUGUACUUCGUCACACACGCUCUCGCCACUUAUCGCCAUGUGCACGCCAUGCACCUCGGCAACCUUCAAGCGGAAGCCCAGCGAGGGAGUCGGCCACGACCGUUAACCACACUAGUACCUAGUCCAGGUUUAUCGCCUAUCUGAGAGUAACCCGUACGGAAGUCCGGCCGGGGUUUCCGCCACGGCCUCAAACGAUGUGCGCAGGGUUCCCAAGCCCACCAUCCGGGUGCCACUUGGUACACCGUGCCACUGCCUACCGCAUCACGGUCCACCUCUCAGGUCAGCACCAUGCACGGCCUCCAGCAUUACUAUAAACACCAGAAACUACUUGCAACUCCUGGACCGAGUACUACGCGAUUAAUAGGCCGAGCGGGGUCAUAUUUCAGGGCCCAGCAUGUGGUAGUAUCUAGUCUUGGAUUACAUACACGGAACUCAGUUCCUAAGGACGGUUCCAAUGAAACAACCCGCCAUGUACUCCUACACAGUCUUUCACCGGUACCUUUACCAAAUCAAGUUCCACACACAACCUUUGCUCACCGAACACAUUCCACAUUUCUGUUCAUCUCCCAGAUGACAGACCAUACACAACUCUAAGCAUAGCAUGCAUAGCAGGAUAAGGCACAUCAUAGCUCAAGCAACUCUAAGCAUAGAGGUCCGGCGGCCGGAGGUGGAAGACGACGGCGCUGCGGGCGUUGCAGGGCUCGAGGAAGCUUCGGCUUCUGUAGAGACGACCAGGGCGACGAGGCGGAGCUAACGGCGUGCUCUGGGAGGGGAUCCUAUGGCCAGGGGCACGGGCAGCUCGAGCUCGAGCUCGGCUCUAAUGGCGGCAGCAAGGAGGAGGAGGAGAUCCGGGCGAAGGAGGAGNNNNNNNNNNNNNNNNNNNNNNNNNNNNNNNNNNNNNNNNNNNNNNNNNNNNNNNNNNNNNNNNNNNNNNNNNNNNNNNNNNNNNNNNNNNNNNNNNNNNNNNNNNNNNNNNNNNNNNNNNNNNNNNNNNNNNNNNNNNNNNNNNNNNNNNNNNNNNNNNNNNNNNNNNNNNNNNNNNNNNNNNNNNNNNNNNNNNNNNNNNNNNNNNNNNNNNNNNNNNNNNNNNNNNNNNNNNNCCUGAAAUAUUUGUUAUAAUAUCCCAACUCAUUUCCAAGGUUUUCAACAUUUUUGGAAAAUUAUAGUUUCUGAUUUCAAUUUUUAAAUUUGAAACCACUGGCUUUUGCAUUUAUUUAAAAUGCUUAAAGUGUCAAGAAAAUAGUUUUCUCCAAUGCUCAUUUACUUUCAUGAUUUAUCAGAAAGUUUGAACAUUUCUUGAGGCCAUUUUGGGUUCAUUGAUUUUAAACUAGUUUGAGAUUUCCUUUAAUUGAAAUGGUGGCUAGGGUUUUGAGUUUUUCCUUUGCCACUUUGUUGUUUUUGUUGAAACUUCUUAGAUGCAAAUGCAAAGAAGACAUGAGCACAAUGCUAUCUUGCUUAAGGGUUAGGGAUGUGACAACGGUGGAAAUAUUAAACCCUACAUGCAGCUGCUAUAGGAGCACAAUAUCGCAUAUGAUCAUCAACCAAAGUAGAAACAUAGGAAACAACGAAAGCUACACAAUGACAUAACAUGAUAGGAACAACCUCACUAGUGGAAAACGGGCCUUUAGCCUGGACCCUUUAUCCCGGCCUCCCUCUGGGCCGGGACUAAAGGCCCGGCCACGUCGCCCCAAAUCGCAAUGCCAUCCACGAGGCUUUGGUCUCGGCCCGUAAGGAGCCUUUAGUCCCGGUUUGUGUCUCAAACCGGGACUAAAGGGUUACGCGGUGUGCAGCCCGCAUGUGCGCCACCUUUAGUCCCGGUUUGUGUCUCAAACCGGGACUAAAGUCCUCUGCCUAUAUAUAGCACAGCCCCCUCUCCCCUCUUCCUUGCAUUUUUCUUGGAUGGAAGAGUGUGGGUGUGUGCUAACUCUCCAUUUUUUUGAUGCACUAGAGGUGUUUGUUGAAAUGUGUGUUAGAGCGAUGCCGCUUCAGUUCACCGAACACAACUACGAUAUGAGAUGUCCGAGCCACGCUUAAACCUCUUCCUCUUUAUUUCUACUUAUUCUAAAAGGUUAGCAACUAUAUUUCCUCGUUUAGACCGUGCGGUACUAAUUUUUAGGAUCGUGAUUGUAUUUGAUAUACUGUCGUAUAACGCAGAUGAGCCAUCCAUGGAUGUACGGUGAUCGACGCACAGCCGCUUACAGAAAAGGCGUGCAUUCUUUUGAGAUGCAGCCGAUGCGAACAAACAUGGUGGUGGCUAUAUGUUUUGUCCAUGUGUUGAAUGUCGGAAUGAGAAGGAUUACACUUCCUCAAGAGUCAUUCAUAGCCACCUGCUUCGGUCCGGUUUUAUGUCGGGCUAUAAUGUUUGGACCAAGCACGGAGAAAGAGGGGUUAUGAUGGAAGACGACGAUGAAGAAGAAGAGAACGAUGAUGACAACUACCAAUCUAUGUUCCCUGAGUAUGCUGAUACCGCAAUGGAAGACAAUGAAGAAGAAGAUCAGGAUGAAGAACGGGAACCAGAUGAGCCCGCUGAUGAUCUUGGCCGGGUCAUUUCUGAUGCACGGCGAGGUUGCGACACAGAAAAGGAGAGGUUGCAGUUCGAGCAGAUGUUACAGGACCACAAAAAAUUGUUGUACCCAACUUGUGAAGAUGGCCAAAAGAAGCUGGGUAGCACACUGGAAUUGCUGAAGUGGAAGGCAGAGACCGGUGUGACUGACUCGUCAUUCGAAAAGUUGCUGGUACUGAUGAAGAAGAUGCUUCCAAGAAAGAACGAAUUGCCCGCCAGCACGUAAGAAGCUAAGAAGCUUGUCUGCACUCUAGGAUUAGAUGUGCAGAAGAUACAUGCAUGCCCUAAUGACUGCAUCCUCUACUGCGGUGAGAAGUACGAGAAUAUGGAUAAAUGCCCGGUAUGCACUGCAUUGCGGUAUAAGAUCAGAAAAGAUGACCCUGGUGAUAUUGAGGGCGAGCCACCCAGGAAGAGGGUUCCUGCCAAGGUGAUGUGAUAUGCUCCUAUAAUACCACGGUUGAAACGUCUGUUCAGAAAUAAAGAUCAUGCGAAGUUGUUGCGAUGGCACAUCGAAGAUCGUACGAAAGAUGAUAAGUUGAGGCACACCGCUGAUGGUCGGCAGUGGAGAAAAAUCGAGAGAGAGUUCCCGAGAUUUGCAGCUGACGCAAGGAACUUAUGGUUAGGUUUGAGUACAGAUGGCAUGAAUCCUUUUGGGGAGCAGAGUUGCAGUCACAACACCUGGCCCGUUACUCUAUGUAUCUACAACCUUCCUCCUUGGUUGUGCAUGAAGCAGAAGUUCAUUAUGAUGCCAGUGCUUAUCCAAGGUCCAAAGCAACCCGGCAACGAUAUUGAUGUGUACCUAAGGCCAUUAGUUGAUGGACUUUUACAGCUGUGGGCCGAACCAGGUGUAUGUGUGUGGGACGAGCACAAACAAGAGGAAUUUGACCCUCGAGCGUUGCUUUUCAUAACCAUCAAUGAUUGGCCUGCUCUUAGUAACAUUUCAGGACAGUCAAACAAGGGAUACAAUGCAUGCAUGCACUGUUUGGAUCAGACAAAAAGUAUAUAUCUGGACAAAUGUAGGAAGAAUGUGUACCCGUACAAUCGUCGUUUUCUUCCGCCCAAGCAUCCCUUAAAGUAAAAAGGCAAGCAUUUCAAUGGCAAGGCAGAACCCCGGGGGAAGCAUGUCAUCCGUACUGGUGCUGAAGUAUUUGAUAUGGUCAAAGAUUUGAAAGUAAUCUUUGGAAAGGGUCCUGGCAGCCAACCUGUUCCUAACGGCCCUGAUAAGCGCGUACCCAUGUGGAAGAAGAAAUCUAUAUUUUGGGAGCUACCCUACUGGGAAGUCCAUGAGGUCCGCUCGGCAAUCAACGUGAUGCACCUGACGAAGAAUCUCUGCGUGAAUAUUCUAGGAUUCCUGGGCUUGUAUGGGAAGUCAAAAGAUACACCGGAAGCACGGGAGGACCAGGAACAUCAUAAAGGAAGAGAUGGCAUGCAUCGAGGGCAGUUUCAAGGGCGUGCCAGCUACGCUCUUACUAAGGAAGAGAAGGAAAUCUUCUUUGAAGUCCUUUUCAGUAUCAAGGUCCCGACUGGCUUCUCGUCGAAUAUAAAGGGAAUCGUAAAUAUGGAAGACAAAAUAUUCCAAAACUUAAAGUCUCACGACUGCCACGUGCUUAUGACGCAAUUGCUUUCGGUUGCAUUGAGGGGAAUUCUACCGAAAAAUGUUCGCCUGGCAAUUGUGAAGGUAUGUGCAUUCCUCAAUGCAAUUUCUCAGAAGGUAAUCGAUCGCGAAAGUCUAUCAGGGUUACCGAUUGAUGUGGUCCAAUGUCUGGUCAGCUUUAGUUGUUGUUCCCGCCAUCCUUCUUCAAUAUAAUGACACACCUCCUAGUUCACCUAGUCGAAGAGAUUAGAAUUCUCGGUCCUGUGUUUCUACACAAUAUGUUCCCCUUCGAGAGGUUCAUGGGAGUCUUAAAGAAAUAUGUUCGUAACCGUGCUAGGCGAGAAGGAAGCAUCUCCAAGGGCUAUGGAACAGAGGAGGUCAUUGAGUUUUGUGUGGACUUUCUUCCUGACCUUAAGCCGUUUGGUGUUCCUGAAUCUCGGUAUGAGGGUAGGCUGACAGGAAAAGGCACACUAGGAAGGAAAGCAAAAGUAUGUAUGGACGGAUAUUCUUUCUCUCAAGCACACUACACAGUUCUACACAAUUCCACCGUGGUGGCUACGUAUAUCGUGAGACACAAGAAUAUUCUACGCUCCGAAAACCCGGGGAAGGCUGACUCUCGGAUUAAAGGGGAACACGAGAAGACUUUUGGCAGUUGGUUGCAGACGCAUCUCAUGAAUGACGACACCGUUGGAGAUUAGCUGUACUGUUUGGCCAGGCCACCAUCUUCGCCUAUAUGUACUUUCCAAGGGUAUGAGAUAAAUGGGAAUACAUUUUACACGGUUGCCCAAGAUAAAAAGAGCACCAACCAAAAUAGUGGUGUCCGCUUUGAUGCAACAGACGAGAAUGGGCACUGUUUGGAAACAUAUUACGUGUACAUAGAGGAGAUAUGGAAACUUGACUAUGGACCUACUUUUAAGAUCCCUUUGUUUCGGUGCAAAUGGGUGAAGCUGACAGGAGGCGGGGUACUUGUAGACCAAAAGUACGGCAUGACAACAGUGGAUCUCAACAAUCUUGCGUACAUGGAUGAACCAUUUGUCCUAGCCAAUGAUGUCGCUCAGGUUUUCUAUGUGAAGGACAUGUCUACAAAAACGAGAAAAAGAAAUCAGCAAAAGAAGAUAUCGUCCGAUGAGCCAAAACGCCACAUAGUUCUUUCAGGGAAAAGAAACAUCGUGGGAGUAGAUGACAAGACAGACAUGUCAGUAGAUUAUAAUAAGUUUCAUGAAAUUCCGCCCUUCAAAUUGAAAACUGACCCAAGCAUCCAACUGAAUGAUGAAGAUUCUCCAUGGCUACGACCUAGAAGAAAACAGAAAUAAUAGAUAGGAAUAUUGGUGCAAUAAUGUAAUAAUGUAUUAAACCUUUUAUGUAAUGCAUGUAUGGAAUGUACUAAACCUUUUAGUUUUGCAUUAUUUAUUCAAUUUCAAACACUUUUCAUUUUCAUAGUUUUAAUAAACCUUUGUAAGAGAUGAGUUCUUGUUCGAAACGCUGAUACUUCGAGAGAGAUUGUCCGUUUUGUACACGAAGUGCAUGCAGUUUUUGUCGUAGCCCUCUCAACUUUUUAACACAUGCUAUGUGGGUGAAAUGAUGAUAGCAUGCCAACUUUCAACAUUUUCAGAGUUCAUUUGUAGUGCUUUUCAAUUUCUGGGUCAAUUAGCUCAAAAAUAAUAAGUAAAUGCACGAAGAAUACCAAAUGAAGUCAGUAAUUGUUGAAAUUUUUUGAUGUGUCUUUGAAUGGUGCAUUUUGAACACACAAAAAGUAUGGAGUUCAAAUAAGUUCAAAAAAUGAAAUCCCUUUGUAAGAGAUGAGUUCUCGUUCGAAACCCUGAUACUUCGAGAGAGAUUGUCCGUUUUGUACACGAAGUGCAUCCAGUUUUUGUCGUAGCCCUCUCAACUUUUUAACACAUGCUAUGUGGAUGAAAUGAUGAUAGCAUGCCAACUUUCAACAUUUUCAGAGUUCAUUUGUAGUGCUUUUCAAUUUCAGGGUCAACUAGCUCAAAAAAAAAGUAAAUGCACGAAAUAUACCAAAUGAAGUCAGAAAUUGUUGAAAUUUUAUGAUGUGCCUUUGAAUGGUGCAUUUUGAACACACAAAAAGCAUGGAGUUAAAAUAAGUUCAAAAAAAUGAAAUCCCUUUGUAAGAGAUGAGUUCUCGUUCGAAACCCCGAUACUUCGAGAGAGAUUGUCCGUUUUGUACAUGAAGUGCAUCCAGUUUUUGUCGUAGCCCUCUCAACUUUUUAACACAUGCUAUGUGGGUGAAAUGAUGAUAGCAUGCCAACUUUCAACAUUUUUAGAGUUCAUUUGUAGUGCUUUUCAAUUUCAGGGUCAACUAGCUCAAAAAAAUAAGUAAAUGCACGAAGAAGUCCAAAUGAAGUCAGAAAUUGUUGAAAUUUUGUGAUGUGCCUUUGAAUGGUGCAUUUUGAACACACAAAAAGUACGAAGUUCAUUAUCAUAGUUUUGUCAAAUUCUCAAAUAUGCAAAAAGAAUUUUAAUAAACAUAAUUUUUAAUUGAAAAUAACAAAAUAGUUAAUAGUUUGGAUAGUUAAGAUAAUUAAUUUUGAAAAUAGAAAAUAGUUUUGAAUUAUUUAUUCAAUUUCAAACACUUUUCAUUAUCAGAGUUUUGUCAAAUUCUCAAAUAUGCAAAAAGAAUUUUAAUAAACAUAGUUUUUAAUUGAAAAUAAAAAAAUAGUUAAUAGUUUGGAUAGUCAAAAUAAUUAAUUUUGAAAAUAGAAAAUAGUUUUGAAUUAUUUAUUCAAUUUCAAACACUUUUCAUUAUCACAGUUUUGUCAAAUUCUCAAAUAUGUAAAAAGAAUUUUAAUAAACAUAGUUUUUAAUUGAAAAGAAAAAAAUAUUUAAUAGUUUGGAUAGUCAAAAUAAUUAAUUUUGAAAAUAGAAAAUAGUUUUGAAUUAUUUAUUCAAUUUCAAACACUUUUCAUUAUCAUAGUUUUGUCAAAUUCUCAAAUAUGCAAAAAGAAUUUUAAUAAACAUAGUUUUUAAUUGAAAAUAACAAAAUAGUUAAUAGUUUGGAUAGUCAAAAUAAUUAAUUUUGAAAAUAGAAAAUAGUUUUGAAUUAUUUAUUCAAUUUCAAACACUUUUCAUUAUCAUAGUUUUGUCAAAUUCUCAAAUAUGCAAAAAGAAUUUUAAUAAACAUAGUUUUUAAUUGAAAAUAACAAAAUAGUUAAUUUUGAAAAUAGAAAAAAAUUGAAACUAUAUGAGAAUUUAUGGAGAAAAUUAAACCUAAAUUCAAAGUGACCUCACUUUGAAUUCAGGUUUAAUUUUCUCCAUAAUUUCAAAUAUAGUUUCAAUUUUUAAAAUUAUAGUCAGUUUAGGCCCGUAAGCCUGCUUUAGAGAGGAGCUCGAUGGAGAUGCUGCGACGGUGCUUAUAAACUAGUGUUAGUCCCCCUCGCUGGGCGAGGUGGGACUAAACUUAUCGUGCAGCCAGCGGAGGGGCUUUAGUCCCGGGUGGAGCCACGACCCGGGACUAAAGCCCCUCGCCUGCCGCCAGCCGAGCACGUGCCUUUAGUCCCGGGUCGUGGCUCCACCCGGGACUAAAGGGUGUCUUUAGUCCCGGCUCGAGCCCCGACCCGGGACUAAAGGCCCCUGCUUCCCGCCUUUUGGUCUGCCGAAAAAGGGCCUUUAGUCCCGGGUCAUGGCUCUGCCCGGGACUAAAGAGUGUCUUUAGUCCGAGUUCGAGCCCCGAACCGGGNNNNNNNNNNNNNNNNNNNNNNNNNNNNNNNNNNNNNNNNNNNNNNNNNNNNNNNNNNNNNNNNNNNNNNNNNNNNNNNNNNNNNNNNNNNNNNNNNNNNCGGCGUCACCGAGGCCUUCCUCGCCAACCCCUCCCCCGACAAAGUCAACGUCCGCGUCGUGCGUCCUCUCUCUCUCAAGACGGGAAUGGAUAAGUCGGGGAGGGGGGUUUAUGUAAAUGAGCGAAACGUUUUUUUAUAACUUAAAAAUAUUCUGCGGCUUGAAUACCAAAAUAGCAAGGGGUGUUUCGGCAAAAUGACCGACGACGUCGAAAGAAGCACUACAUGCUUUAUUAUUAGGGGAGAAGUAGAGAGUAGAGAUAGAGACAGAGAUAGAGAUAGAGANGAUAGAGAUUCUUUUUGUUGCAAAGUAUAGGACUUUCACUGCAUGCGCGAUAUCUACACUAUUCCCUCGCGAGCGAGCACACCGUGCAUGCAAACGAACCGCUCGGACGGACGUUCCUCGCUAGAAUCCGUCGAGGCCAAACAACUCCGGCGCUGCACCGAACUUGACGGCAUAAUCACAGACGACGACACCUUGAACGCCUUCUCCGCGCUCGUGUCCCCGCCNNNNNNNNNNNNNNNNNNNNNNNNNNNNNNNNNNNNNNNNNNNNNNNNNNNNNNNNNNNNNNNNNNNNNNNNNNNNNNNNNNNNNNNNNNNNNNNNNNNNCAUUCCCUUUGUCCUUCAGUAUGUUACUUGCCCGAGAUUCGAUCGUCAGUAUCCGCAUACUUAUUUCAAUCUCGUAUACCGGCAAGUCUCUUUACUCGUUCCGUAAUACAAGAUCCCGCAACUUACACUAAGUUACAUUGCUUGCAAGGCAUGUGUGUGAUGUUGUAUUACCGAGUGGGCCCCGAGAUACCUCUACGUCACACGGAGUGACAAAUCCCAGUCUCAAUCCAUACUAACUCAACGAACACCUUUGGAGAUACCUGUAGAGCAUCUNNNNNNNNNNUUGUUUGUGAUGUUGUAUUACCGAGUGGGCCCCGAGAUACCUCUCCGUCACACGGAGUGACAAAUCCUAGUCUCGAUCCAUACUAACUCAACGAACACCUUUGGAGAUACCUGUAGAGCAUCUUUAUAGUCACCCAGUUACGUUGCGACGUUUGAUACACACAAAGCAUUCCUCCGGUGUCCGUGAGUUAUAUGAUCUCAUGGUCAUCGGAACAAAUACUUGACACGCAGAAAACAGUAGCAACAAAAUGACACGAUCAACAUGCUACGUCUAUUAGUUUGGGUCUAGUCCAUCACAUGAUUCUCCUAAUGAUGUGAUCCCGUUAUCAAGUGACAACACUUGCCUAUGGCCAGGAAACCUUGACCAUCUUUGAUCAACGAGCUAGUCAACUAGAGGCUUACUAGGGACAGUGUUUUGUCUAUGUAUCCACACAAGUAUUGUGUUUCCAAUCAAUGCAAUCAUAGCAUGGAUAAUAAACGAUUAUCAUGAACUAAGAAAUAUAAUAAUAACUAGUUUAUUAUUGCCUCUAGGGCAUAUUUCCAACAAUAGUAGUAGCGCCUUUUCAAUUAGCAGCGCUACUGUUAAGGUGUUAUUAGCAGNNNNNNNNNNNNNNNNNNNNNNNNNNNNNNNNNNNNNNNNNNNNNNNNNNNNNNNNNNNNNNNNNNNNNNNNNNNNNNNNNNNNNNNNNNNNNNNNNNNNCGCUGCUGCUAAUUAUCAGCAGUGUUUUUUUUAUUCCAGCGCUACUACUGAGGUCCUACCUAUAAGGUUUUUUCUAGUAGUGUUUGUUACACGUCUUAGCACAAAAUAAAAUAAGACAUGAGUAACUAAAUACACUCUGGUUUCAAGUAACACACUAUCUGUGUACAACACAAUAUAUAGAAGACGACCCCCAUGAGCUAUUAUUUUAAAUCAAAUUAGUAUCGUAAAAAGCCUAGUAUUUACAUUCUGUGGGGAAUAGGUCAAUACACAAUGUACAUAUUUACAAAAUUGUAUUAAGUAGUCCUGGAGUUGCCAGUUAUGCCCCUAUAAUGGUUCAUAUUUCCUUGAGCUAUUAAUUCUAAAUUAAUCGAUCAUGGAGGACUUGGCAGUUCGAGACGACUUCAUGCGGUGGUGGCCCCCGGUCAUGGUCUGGCCGGGGUGGUCGCCUCGCUGCGCCACGAUGGAUGUCGGGGCGGCGGCCUCGGGAGGUGACAGAUGGUGAGACCUAGAUCGUCCUUGGAUGCAUAGCAUGGACGUACCUAUGUCCAAGGCAGGGCUGCUCCAGCGGUACGAUGAAUUAGAGCCCGUAUUCAGUUUGGUACAUAGACGGUGAAGAGUGUGCUUGGAAUUCAUCCUAACGGCUCUUCAGGCAUUGCGCGGUGAUGUGGCAACCCUCACUCCAUGUUUUAGUGGUGGCGCCCUUCGGUAGUGGUCGAGGUGUCAUGAUACACUGCGGUGGCAGUGAGGCUAUGGAUGAUCGCUGGAUCUGGGCAACCAACUCUGAGGCUUUGAAGGAGGUAUCGUAGAUGCAGAGGUUCUCGGCUGGAUGUUCUUGGGACAAAUUUGGGUGAAAAAUCGAUUUCUGUCGGUGGUAGGAGGCAAUGAUGGUGAUGCCCUUGGCGCUAUUUCCUUCACGAAGGCAUCAUCAAGGUGAAGCUCCCAACUCCUACCCUUACCUCUAGGGGAAACUCUUAAUCAGUCGAUCGGAUGAUGACGGCGCUCUCGUGUCACUCCCUCCUUGGGGGCGUCAUUAUUGGAGGGGUGCAUUGGCUCGAGGGAUCAGUGGACGGUUUUAGCGGUGGAUCGACGUCUCAUUUCACGGAUCGAUGAUGUUGCGUCUCGACGGCAUGGCGCAACAGGGUCUCGGCGACAUAUGUAUAAUGUUGGACGUGCGUAGAGAGGUGGCGUUCUUUGGAGUGGUGGUGGCGUCGAUGGAAGGACUGCCAAGGUUGAUGCGUCAGUACCUGCUCUCAAGAUGGAUCGAUGUAAGACGACGGCGGCGGUCUCUUAGAGUGCGCCGGACCGGUGUGUGCCCCAGAACAGGCAGGAGCCUUGAUUGGGGCCUCCGGUUUCAGAUGUUAGGCUUCAAACUUAUUGAUUUAUUACUUAAUAAAAUGACUGUAUAUAUCGUCCAGAUGCAGAGGCAGGUGGGACAUCCUUAUUUUUUUAGAAAUGUGUUGAAGGAUAUGGGACGGAAAUAAAUAAUAGAAGUCUUGAUGUGAAGAUGACUUGUAAUGCAACUUAAUUGAACAAAAAGUAGUUAGAUAUAGAUAUGGAUAAUAAAAAUACAUGAUGCAAAGCUGACUUUCAAGCAGCUUAAUUGCACGAAAAGUAGCUUACACAAAAUGACAUGUAAACUGACUCUGCUUAAUCAUUGAAACAAAGACUUAAGAUUGUGUUAGAAUUAGGUAAAGAUUAAGGUGUAUUUGCAUGACAAAUUGUUGGUAUCUCUAAAUAGGACUCACACUCGUGUAUCCAAUUAAGCAGGAUUUGGACUCUUUAUAAUAAACGUGUAGUUUUAUACUAUAUUUCUUAAUUAAAUAAAGUAAUCACAUACAUCACUUUCAGUUAAUAGUAGAUGUGGUGUUGGUCGCACGUGGCUAGAAUCGUGUUUGAUCUGGUUUGUCAAUUGCAUGCUUUUUUGUUCGCAAAUAUGAGAUUACGCAUGAUGUGAAGCAGGAGUAAAGGCAGCAGGUUGCUGGCAAGUCUGCAUAAUUGUCAUGACAUAGUGAUAUUAGAAACUGGACGUGGUUGGAAGCAACUGCAUGAAAAAAAUAAGAUACGAAGAGGUAAUGAUAUUUAUAAAGCAAAUCUUUUACAUGAUCACUUACACAAACUAGUUUAAUUGAUGGCCCCAUGCGAUUGAAGGGAAGGAUGGCGAGUUCAAACCCGAGUACUUGCGUCUAUUUUUUUCUAGGAUUGCAGGUUCAUUAUUUACAAUCGUGUGAGGCUUUAUGUAAAAUGCCAUCGAAUCUAUUUUUCCAACUAAAAACAGGACCAUGGGUUUAUUGGAUAAAACCUCAAGUGUGUUUGUGCAAAACAGCAUAACGGACUAAAAAUAUUUAUUUAUUUUAUUAGUAAAAAAGUAGGUAUAGAUAUAGAUAUAGACUAGGAAAUAUACCCGUGUGUUGCAACAUAAUAAAAAGUGCCUCAACAUUCCCCCAAUCCAUGAACACACCCUUCCACAUCCUCUAUGUCAUGACAAUGCCCGGCCUAUAUCACCCCUUAUCCUCCUUCCUGCCAUCGCCGAUGGUGACAGUUCAAUCUUGCGUCUGUACAACACUAUGGGCAGCGUCCAUCAAUAAUGUGAGGAGUUCAUUGGCAAGAGUGCUCGACCACGUCGGCUGUGUGUCGUUGGUUAGCGCCUCGCCUGUAGUCACCUCCUCCGUCAACCGAAGUGCUGCCGGCAUUGCAAAUAUAAUUUGCAAGUAAAUCUACUAUAAAAGUUAUAGACCAAGGCACUAAGAAUUGAACAAUGAUUCUGACCACUUGUUUUGUUAGAAAUUUCUGGAAAAAUAAAUCCUUAUAAAAUAAAUCUCAGACUUCAUCAAGGAGCUACACAAAUUAAAUCAUAUUUAUGGUCAUAAGAUAAUCGUAGAUUAGAUGUGCAUUUAUAUAUAUAUAUAUAUAUAACAAACUUCCAAAGAGUACACACUUGAAAAUUCCUUAAAAAGUACACACUUGAGGCAUGCGACAUGUACAUUCCAAGAUUCUUCGAAGUCAUUGCAUUUUAGCUUAUUCGUGAGGACGGAUGCCAGCAUUUUUGUUUCGGAAAUUAUAUAUGAAAAAUAUCUCUUCAAAACCUAGACAUACUUCGACGUACAAAAAACAUGUCACGGGGAGAAUUACGGAAAACUAAAUGACGGCACCACUGAUUUGUUUUGUUCAUAUAUGUUCACAGAUUAGAAUGUCCUUGCUGUUGUUAGUUAACUAUAUGAUGAAGCAAAGANNNNNNNNNNUAAUCUAUGAACUGGAUUAACAAAAUUAAAGGAUGUAAAAACUGGGUUCUAUACUAUAUUGCAAGGGAGCUUAUUUUUCUUCUAAGGAAUUUAUUUGCUUUACAUAAUAUCUAUCAUUGCAUAAUUAUUGUUGGGAACUGUGAAAAAAAAUUAUCAACGUAAAUUAUGAUUAAAUUUAUUUUGUGAAGAAAAUAGCUUUGCGUGGAGAUAAGUGAGCCGAUCAGCAUUUUUUGUGUGUGUUGCAACAUAUGCUAGCUAGCAUAACCUUAACAACAAUACCAUGUUGACGGUGGCAAUAUUAAACCCUACAUGAAUCUGCUAUAGGAGCAUAAUAACGCUUUUGAUCAUCAACCAAAGUAGAAACACGGGAAACAACCAAAGCUACACAGUCACAUACAAUGAUAGAAACAACCUGUACUAUUUUUGUGAUAAUGAAAGAGAUAGUGCUCUUAUCCUCUGCAUCACGAUCAUAUGAAAACUAAUCAAUCUCAUGUAUGUGGCACUGCUUCAUUUUCCAUCUAUCCAGCUUGUUGCUGCAGGUCAUCACGAUGACAAGUGUCAGUCCAGUAGCCAGCUUUGUGCAUGUACCAGGGAGCAGAUCGAUCNNNNNNNNNNAUCUCACAUAUAUAUGUCUCCCCGUCCAAGGUUUCAACACCUGAUAUGGUAACAAUUUUGUGACAGUCUCCACUUUCUCUCUUCAUCAGCAGCAAACAUAGCCAAGUAGCAACACAAAAGGCAGCAUACACAUGCCCGGAGUAGCAACAGAGAGAAAUUCAUCUUAAUCUCUCUCAAUUUCUCUCUUCUUGUCUACCUGAUUCUCCUCUUUGCAUCACACAAAGCAGAACACAAAACAAAUUCAGCAUAUAAAGUUAUAAACAGUAGUGUGAGGUUUGCACCAUUGGAAAGUGUGUACAUGUGUUGCGUUGUUUCCUGGGCUUGAUCAAUCUUGGUGGGGCAAAGUAGCAGCAUGGUCGCUAUCUACGCCGACACGACCCACCACGUCGACCCCAGCACCCCAACGUGGUCUUUGGAUCCAGACAGUCGUCGUGGCCUACAACAACCUAGUAGUCGUCCAGGACGCAUACACGCGAGGCCUUCACCGUCAACCGUCGUCAACGACCAACCUCACCGGCUGGGAGCCUGAGUUCUGGGAACUCCUGUGGCGCUGCCCACCUCAGGGCAUGCACGGCGCCCUCAUCGAGUUAGUGCGCCGCCGUUCCGCAUCUGAGACAGUGUCGGCCAUGUCGAUCUUCUUGUCGCGUGUUGGGCCUUGCAGGCGAGAGAGAGAGAGAGAGAGAGAGUCGGAUGGAGCAGCGAGUCGAGUUCCGAUCUGUUCGGCGCUCGGUCGGAGCUUGUUGUNNNNNNNNNNNNNNNNNNNNNNNNNNNNNNNNNNNNNNNNNNNNNNNNNNNNNNNNNNNNNNNNNNNNNNNNNNNNNNNNNNNNNNNNNNNNNNNNNNNNAGUUCACCGGGGGGGCAACCCACCCCGGGGAAGCCCAUAGGCUUUGAGGGUGGCACACCAGCCCUUAGUGGGCUGGUGGGACAGCCCACAAGUGCCCUAUGNNNNNNNNNNGGUUCACCGGGUGGGGCAACCCACCCCGGGGAAACCCAUAGGCAUUUGGGGAGACACACCAGCCCUUAGUGGGCUGGUGGGACAGCCCACAAGUGCCCUAUGCGCCAAGGAGAAGAAAAUCAAGAGAGAAAGGAAAAAAAAAGGGGAGGUGGGAAGGAAGGGGGACUCCCUCCCACCAAACCUAGUGCAACUCGGUUUGGGGGGGGAGAGUCCUCCCCCUUGGACUCGGCCGACCCCCUUGGGGCUCCUUGAGCCCCAAGGCAAGGCCCCCUCCCUCCCACCUAUAUAUACGGAGGUUUUAGGGCUGAUUUGAGACGACUUUUCCACGGCAGCCCGACCACAUACCUCCACGGUUUUUCCUCUAGAUCGCGUUUCUGCGGAGCUCGGGCGGAGCCCUGCUGAGACAAGGUCAUCACCAACCUCCGGAGCACCGUCACGCUGCCAGAGAACUCUUCUACCUCUCCGUCUCUCUUGCUUGAUCAAGAAGGCCGUGAUCAUCGUCGAACUGUACGUGUGCUGAACGCGGAGGUGCCGUCCGUUCGGUACUAGAUCGUGGGACUGAUCGCGGGAUUGUUCGCGGGGCGGAUCGAGGGACGUGAGGACGUUCCACUACAUCAACCNNNNNNNNNNUGCUGCCGGAGAACUCUUCUACUUCUCCGUCUCUCUUGCUGGAUCAAGAAGGCCGAGAUCAUCGUCGAGCUGUACGUGUGCUGAACGUGGAGGUGCCGUCCGUUCGGUACUAGAUCGNNNNNNNNNNNNNNNNNNNNNNNNNNNNNNNNNNNNNNNNNNNNNNNNNNNNNNNNNNNNNNNNNNNNNNCUCUAACGCUUCUGCUGUACGGUCUACAAGGGUACGUAGAUCACUCAUCCCCUCUCGUAGAUGGACAUCACCAUGAUAGGUCUUCGUGCGCGUAGGAAAUUUUUUGUUUCCCAUGCGACGUUCCCCAAUAUAUAGUAUAGUACAUCCUAUCUUGACCAAGAUCUUGAAUAACUGUAUUUCAAAAUGGUAGCACACUCAGCAAACCAAGGUCCCAUGAUAGAUGGGGGAAUACGGUCCUGCAGUUGCGAGUUAUGCCGCUAUAAUUCUAAAUAAAUCACCGGGCGUAAUUUAAUCAUUGCCUUGCUGUACACGCUAGUUCGCAAAUNNNNNNNNNNGACACUCAGCAAACCAAGGUCCCAUGAUAGAUGGGGAAUACGGUCCUGCAGUUGCCAGUUAUGCCGCUAUAAUUCUAAAUAAAUCUCCGGGCGUAAUUUAAUCAUUGCCUUGCUGUACACGCUAGUUCGCAAAUGGCAUGUUUUGUUCAUUUAAUUUCUUUUGCAACACAAGUAUGAGGGUUUGUUUCCUUACCUACCGACGUACUUAUAUAUAAUACUCCCUCCGUCUCAAAAUAAGUGUCUUAAGCUUAUACAAAUUUAUACUAGAGCUAGUACAAAUUUAAAACAGCUAUUUUGGGACGGAGGGAGUAUUUGCAAUCGACCAUGGCCACGUAGUGNNNNNNNNNNGUACUCCCUCCGUCUCAAAAUAAGUGUCUUAAGAUUAAUACAAAUUUAUACUAGAGCUAGUACAAAUUUAAAACAGUUAUUUUGGGACGGAGGGAGUAUUUGCAAUCGACCAUGGCCACGUAGUGGCUACCAAGCUUACCGCCGCUGCCAUCGCGUUCAUCAUCAACACUUGUUGUGUGCUCACCACGUUCAUCAUCAAAUUAGGAUAAACUCAAUCGAUCUUAUUUUCAUUUGAUAAUCAAUUCUUCAGAUGCAAAGUNNNNNNNNNNNNNNNNNNNNNNNNNNNNNNNNNNNNNNNNNNNNNNNNNNNNNNNNNNNNNNNNNNNNNNNNNNNNNNNNNNNNNNNNNNNNNNNNNNNNUCGUGAUAGAUGGGGAAUACCCUUUUCGAGCUAAUCCCGUCGUCGGCAAUAAAAAUCCGGCGGAUCCGGUCGCCGCCGCCACCGAUCGGGGACGGGCCGACGCGGGGACAGGAGGUUCUGUUUUUCCUCGUGCGUGCCUAUAUGGAGUGAGGUUGCAAUAUUUUGCUAUAAUGUUUUUUGCUUCAAGGCCUUCGAUGGGAUCGUGCGCUGAUCCAACGGACGNNNNNNNNNNUGGAUUCGGCCGUCGCCGCCACCGAUCGGGGACGGGCCGACGCGGGGACGGGAGGCUCUGUUUUUCCUCGUGCGUGCCUAUGUGGAGUAAGGUUGCAAUAUUUUGCUGUAACGUGUUUUUGCUUCAAGGCCUUCGAUGGGAUCGUGCGCUGAUCCAACGGACGUGGCUGGCUGCAUCCAAUGGUCUGAGCUGGACCGGCCAUACCGUUGCACCGGUCCGCCCGUGUAGAUCGCUGCCCUACAUUUAACCAAGAUAAAUGUAUCCCACACAUAGACGCACCGAGAGAGGAACUAACUUUGAGUAUAUAUAUAUGUGUCAGCCUGUCUAUAUUAUCCUGCUAGCUUGCAAAUAAAAUUAGAAUUCUACGCCCUUCGUUUCAAAAUAAGUGUCUUAAACUUAAUAUAAUUUUAUACCAGAGCUGUUACAAAGUUAAGAUAAUUAUUUUGGGACAGGAGGGAGUACAACAAAACAGGGACAUCUCAACUUCUACUGCAGUUUACAAGUGNNNNNNNNNNCACUCCCUCCGUAAACUAAUAUAAAAGCAUUUAGAUCACUAAAAUAGUAAUCUAAACGCUCUUAUAUUAAUUUACAGAAGGGUAUAAUUUUGUACCAGAGCUGGUGCAAAGUUAAGAUAAUUAUUUUGGGACAGAGGGAGUACAACAAAACAGGGACAUCUCAACUUCUACUACAGUGGGAUACGUUUUUGUUUUUUGUUUUUUGCGGCAUAAGCAGGAUAGAUAAUGAUGAAACAUCUGCACUUGCACCACUCGCUCGUAGUACAUGCCGAGUUGAUUUCCUAACCUACCGACGUACUUAUAUACUUAUAUAAUGUAAUUGAUCAUGGCCACGUAGUCGCUACCAAGCUGCCACCGCGUUCAUCAUCAACACUUGCCUGCUGUGUGGUCACCACGUUCGCGGCCGGCAGCAGCUGGUUGACUCGCAAACGUGCGCUCCAAACGCCCGUAGAACACAUGCAUGCGAUUUCUGCUGUAGAUGACUAUAAAUACGCAUGCGAAACAGCAAGUUUUCUUCAUCCUAUCUUCCUCGAUCCAGCAAGAGGAGACGAGCACAGGAAGAUGGCCAGGCUUGUCCUUGUCGCCGUACUGGUGGUGCUCGGUUCCGUGGCCUGCCAAGCAUCCGGCUACGGCUACACCUAUCCCAACCCCACUCCCAUCAUAACCGGUACUCCGCAGCCGAGCCCUUCCCCACCUCCACCGGCUACUCCCCCGCCCAGCCCUACCCCUACACCGGAAUAUCCCACCCCGACUUCCAGCGCGCCGGCAACGUCCCCAUCAGUUUCUCCUCCGACCAGCUCUACCCCGCCACCACCGUCUACCCUUCCCCCGAGCCCUACUGCUACCCCGGUCUAUCCCACCCCCACUCCCACCACUCCCGCGCCCCCACCGGCUUCUACUCCUGCCCCGCCUCCAC
This 27601-nucleotide long non-coding RNA is filed under the name Hordeum vulgare. RNAcentral describes it as "long non-coding RNA (HVUL_LNC003106)". The record is from RNAcentral. Lineage: Eukaryota; Viridiplantae; Streptophyta; Magnoliopsida; Poales; Poaceae.